RNAcentral lists this ribosomal RNA (987 nucleotides) under Enterococcus faecium. RNAcentral's name for it is "bacterial SSU rRNA". It matches the Rfam family "Bacterial small subunit ribosomal RNA", at positions 44 to 979 of the family's 1533-position model. Lineage: Bacteria; Bacillati; Bacillota; Bacilli; Lactobacillales; Enterococcaceae. The record is from RNAcentral.
GUGCUAUACAUGCAGUCGAACGCUUCUUUUUCCACCGGAGCUUGCUCCACCGGAAAAAGAGGAGUGGCGAACGGGUGAGUAACACGUGGGUAACCUGCCCAUCAGAAGGGGAUAACACUUGGAAACAGGUGCUAAUACCGUAUAACAAUCGAAACCGCAGGGUUUUGAUUUGAAAGGCGCUUUCGGGUGUCGCUGAUGGAUGGACCCGCGGUGCAUUAGCUAGUUGGUGAGGUAACGGCUCACCAAGGCCACGAUGCAUAGCCGACCUGAGAGGGUGAUCGGCCACAUUGGGACUGAGACACGGCCCAAACUCCUACGGGAGGCAGCAGUAGGGAAUCUUCGGCAAUGGACGAAAGUCUGACCGAGCAACGCCGCGUGAGUGAAGAAGGUUUUCGGAUCGUAAAACUCUGUUGUUAGAGAAGAACAAGGAUGAGAGUAACUGUUCAUCCCUUGACGGUAUCUAACCAGAAAGCCACGGCUAACUACGUGCCAGCAGCCGCGGUAAUACGUAGGUGGCAAGCGUUGUCCGGAUUUAUUGGGCGUAAAGCGAGCGCAGGCGGUUUCUUAAGUCUGAUGUGAAAGCCCCCGGCUCAACCGGGGAGGGUCAUUGGAAACUGGGAGACUUGAGUGCAGAAAAGGAAAGUGGAAUUCCAUGUGUAGCGGUGAAAUGCGUAGAUUUAUGGAGGAACACCAGUGGCCAAAGGCGGCUCUCUGGUCUGUAACUGACGCUAAGGCUCGAAAGCGUGGGGGAGCAAACGGGAUUAAAUACCCCGGGUAGUCCACGGCCGUAAACCAAUAAAGUGCUAAAUGGUUGGAAGGGUUUCCCCCCUUUCAGGGGUGCAGCUAAAGCAAUUAAGCCCUCCCCCCGGGGGAAAUACAAACCCCCAGGGUUGAAACUCCAAAGGAAUUUGACGGGGGGCCCCGCCAAAACCGGGGGGAACCAGGGGGGUUUAAUUUCCAAACCACCCCGAAAAAACCUUUACCAGG